ACGAACGCUGGCGGCGUGCCUAAUACAUGCAAGUCGAGCGCAUGAACCCGGCGGACCUCUUCGGAGGGAAACCGGGGAAUUGAGCGGCGGACGGGUGAGUAACACGUGGGCAACCUGCCCUUCAGACGGGGAUAACUCCGGGAAACCGGAGCUAAUACCCGAUAAUCAAGCCGAUCUCCUUAUCGGCUUGUAAAAGCAUGGUCUUCGGACCAUGCACUGGGGGAUGGGCCCGCGGCGUAUUAGCUAGUUGGUGAGGUAACGGCUCACCAAGGCAACGAUGCGYAGCCGACCUGAGAGGGUGAUCGGCCACACKK
This 314-nucleotide ribosomal RNA is filed under the name uncultured bacterium. RNAcentral describes it as "bacterial SSU rRNA". It matches the Rfam family "Bacterial small subunit ribosomal RNA", at positions 29 to 315 of the family's 1533-position model. The record is from RNAcentral.